GACGAACGCUGGCGGCGUGCUUAACACAUGCAAGUCGAACGGAAAGGCCCUGCUUUUGUGGGGUGCUCGAGUGGCGAACGGGUGAGUAACACGUGAGUAACCUGCCCUUGACUUUGGGAUAACUUCAGGAAACUGGGGCUAAUACCGGAUAGGAGCUCCUGCUGCAUGGUGGGGGGUGGAAAGUUUCGGCGGUUGGGGAUGGACUCGCGGCUUAUCAGCUGGUUGGUGGGGUAGUGGCUUACCAAGGCUUUGACGGGUAGCCGGCCUGAGAGGGUGACCGGCCACAUUGGGACUGAGAUACGGCCCAGACUCCUACGGGAGGCAGCAGUGGGGAAUAUUGCACAAUGGGCGGAAGCCUGAUGCAGCAACGCCGCGUGCGGGAUGACGGCCUUCGGGUUGUAAACCGCUUUCGCCUGUGACGAAGCGUGAGUGACGGUAAUGGGUAAAGAAGCACCGGCUAACUACGUG
This 468-nucleotide ribosomal RNA is filed under the name uncultured bacterium. Its description in RNAcentral is "partial 16S ribosomal RNA". It matches the Rfam family "Bacterial small subunit ribosomal RNA", at positions 28 to 507 of the family's 1533-position model. The record is from RNAcentral.